UAUCGUGACAAUAGCGAAGGGGUCACACCUGUUCCCAUACCGAACACAGCAGUUAAGCCCUUCAGCGC
This 68-nucleotide ribosomal RNA is filed under the name Heliorestis acidaminivorans. Lineage: Bacteria; Bacillati; Bacillota; Clostridia; Eubacteriales; Heliobacteriaceae. The record is from RNAcentral.